Molecule: ribosomal RNA, 253 nt
Filed under: uncultured bacterium
Lineage: Bacteria
Description: partial 16S ribosomal RNA
Rfam family: Bacterial small subunit ribosomal RNA
Source: RNAcentral
GACAGAGGGGGCAAGCGUUGCUCGGAAUUAUUGGGCGUAAAGAGCACGCAGGCGGUUUGGCAAGUCGGAUGUGAAAACCCGAAGCUCAACUUCGGGCCUGCAUCCGAAACUGCCCGACUAGAGGUAGGUAGGGGAGAUCGGAAUUCCUGGUGUAGCGGUGAAAUGCGCAGAUAUCAGGAAGAACACCCGUGGCGAAGGCGGUUCUCUGGGACGGUACUGACGCUGAGACGCGAAAGCGUGGGGAGCGAACAGG